Molecule: ribosomal RNA, 352 nt
Filed under: uncultured bacterium
Lineage: Bacteria
Description: bacterial SSU rRNA
Rfam family: Bacterial small subunit ribosomal RNA
Source: RNAcentral
GGCCGCGUCGACGGUGUACAGGUGGUGCAUGGUUGUCGUCAGCUCGUGUCGUGAGAUGUUGGGUUAAGUCCCGCAACGAGCGCAACCCUCGUUCUAUGUUGCCAGCACGUGAUGGUGGGAACUCAUAGGAGACUGCCGGGGUCAACUCGGAGGAAGGUGGGGAUGACGUCAAAUCAUCAUGCCCUUUAUGUCCUGGGCUUCACGCAUGCUACAAUGGCUGGUACAGAGAGAGGCGAACCCGUGAGGGUGAGCGAAUCCCUUAAAAGCCAGUCUCAGUUCGGAUCGUAGUCUGCAAUUCGACUACGUGAAGUCGGAAUCGCUAGUAAUCGUAGAUCAGCAUGCUACGGUGAAU